UGGAGGAAGCAGCCACGGGCGAGAGUGGCUGCAGCUGGAGUGAGCGAGCGCGACGAGCCACCGGAAACGGAGCUGCGGCCGCGCCCCGCCCCCAGCUCCCCGCACGCUGCCCCUCCCGCUCGUCUGUCCCGCUGGCGGCCCAGCGUGCUGGCUGUACGCGUCACUUCCGGCUGUGUCGGCGCGCGAAAAAAGGAACCAAAGAGAAGUGAAGGAAUGUGUCCAAGGGCUCCCAAGUUGGCGGUGGAAUUAGAAUUGAAGCCUCAGCUCCAAAGCCUGUGUUCUGAACUACCCGGUUGCAGUUCACAAAAUACACUUUGGCAGUACUUUCAUAACGAAAACAAAUGAUUACAACCAGUUUACAAAUGCUUUGCUUUACUGGAGGAUCGACAUGUUUGACUAAUUUUCAAAAAUAAAUCUCAGAAGCAGCA
RNAcentral lists this long non-coding RNA (428 nucleotides) under Homo sapiens (human). Its description in RNAcentral is "non-protein coding lnc-TMEM243-1:3". The record is from RNAcentral. Lineage: Eukaryota; Metazoa; Chordata; Mammalia; Primates; Hominidae.